GGGACAGCUUAGGCUGGGAUUCGCGUAAAUAUUAAUAUAAGGCUAUUUAAAGUACAUUUAAUAAAAUGGUCGUCAGCAUGAAAUAGCAUGGUGUGACACUGAUCCUUUAAGGUGGCUCAAUACAGUUUUUAAAAAGAUAGAAAAUUCACGAUUUAGAUGCGUAUUUUUGGACAAUUAUUACUUGUUGAUAAACAAAAAGUACC
This is a non-coding RNA of Paramuricea clavata, 203 nucleotides long. Lineage: Eukaryota; Metazoa; Cnidaria; Anthozoa; Malacalcyonacea; Plexauridae. The record is from the annotation of a GenBank genome assembly.